UACGAAGGGUGCAAGCGUUACUCGGAAUUACUGGGCGUAAAGCGUGCGUAGGUGGUUGUUUAAGUCUGCCGUGAAAGCCCUGGGCUCAACCUGGGAAUUGCGAUGGAAACUGGGCGACUAGGGUGUGGCAGAGGGUAGUGGAAUUCCUGGUGUAGCAGUGAAAUGCGUAGAGAUCAGGAGGAACAUCCGUGGCGAAGGCGACUGCCUGGGCCAACACUGACACUGAGGCACGAAAGCGUGGGGAGCAAACAGG
This 253-nucleotide ribosomal RNA is filed under the name uncultured bacterium. RNAcentral describes it as "partial 16S ribosomal RNA". It matches the Rfam family "Bacterial small subunit ribosomal RNA", at positions 524 to 776 of the family's 1533-position model. The record is from RNAcentral.